RNAcentral lists this ribosomal RNA (2750 nucleotides) under Salmonella enterica subsp. enterica serovar Enteritidis. Its description in RNAcentral is "partial 23S ribosomal RNA". It matches the Rfam family "Bacterial large subunit ribosomal RNA". Lineage: Bacteria; Pseudomonadati; Pseudomonadota; Gammaproteobacteria; Enterobacterales; Enterobacteriaceae. The record is from RNAcentral.
CCCUGGCAGUCAGAGGCGAUGAAGGGCGUACUAAUCUGCGAUAAGCGCCGGUAAGGUGAUAUGAACCGUUAUAACCGGCGAUACCCGAAUGGGGAAACCCAGUGUGAUUCGUCACACUAUCAUUAACUGAAUCCAUAGGUUAAUGAGGCGAACCGGGGGAACUGAAACAUCUAAGUACCCCGAGGAAAAGAAAUCAACCGAGAUUCCCCCAGUAGCGGCGAGCGAACGGGGAGGAGCCCAGAGCCUGAAUCAGCAUGUGUGUUAGUGGAAGCGUCUGGAAAGGCGCGCGAUACAGGGUGACAGCCCCGUACACAAAAGCGCAUGUGCUGUGAGCUCGAUGAGUAGGGCGGGACACGUGGUAUCCUGUCUGAAUAUGGGGGGACCAUCCUCCAAGGCUAAAUACUCCUGACUGACCGAUAGUGAACCAGUACCGUGAGGGAAAGGCGAAAAGAACCCCGGCGAGGGGAGUGAAAAAGAACCUGAAACCGUGUACGUACAAGCAGUGGGAGCACAGGUUUACCUGUGUGACUGCGUACCUUUUGUAUAAUGGGUCAGCGACUUAUAUUCUGUAGCAAGGUUAACCGAAUAGGGGAGCCGGAGGGAAACCGAGUCUUAAUUGGGCGUUAAGUUGCAGGGUAUAGACCCGAAACCCGGUGAUCUAGCCAUGGGCAGGUUGAAGGUUGGGUAACACUAACUGGAGGACCGAACCGACUAAUGUUGAAAAAUUAGCGGAUGACCUGUGGCUGGGGGUGAAAGGCCAAUCAAACCGGGAGAUAGCUGGUUCUCCCCGAAAGCUAUUUAGGUAGCGCCUCGUGAAUUCAUCUCCGGGGGUAGAGCACUGUUUCGGCUAGGGGGCCAUCCCGGCUUACCAACCCGAUGCAAACUGCGAAUACCGGAGAAUGUUAUCACGGGAGACACACGGCGGGUGCUAACGUCCGUCGUGAAGAGGGAAACAACCCAGACCGCCAGCUAAGGUCCCAAAGUCAUGGUUAAGUGGGAAACGAUGUGGGAAGGCCCAGACAGCCAGGAUGUUGGCUUAGAAGCAGCCAUCAUUUAAAGAAAGCGUAAUAGCUCACUGGUCGAGUCGGCCUGCGCGGAAGAUGUAACGGGGCUAAACCAUGCACCGAAGCUGCGGCAGCGACACUGUGUGUUGUUGGGUAGGGGAGCGUUCUGUAAGCCUGUGAAGGUGUGUCGUGAGGCAUGCUGGAGGUAUCAGAAGUGCGAAUGCUGACAUAAGUAACGAUAAAGCGGGUGAAAAGCCCGCUCGCCGGAAGACCAAGGGUUCCUGUCCAACGUUAAUCGGGGCAGGGUGAGUCGACCCCUAAGGCGAGGCCGAAAGGCGUAGUCGAUGGGAAACGGGUUAAUAUUCCCGUACUUGGUGUUACUGCGAAGGGGGGACGGAGAAGGCUAUGUUGGCCGGGCGACGGUUGUCCCGGUUUAAGCGUGUAGGUGUGUGUUCCAGGUAAAUCCGGUUCACUUUAACACUGAGGCGUGACGACGAGGCACUACGGUGCUGAAGCAACAAAUGCCCUGCUUCCAGGAAAAGCCUCUAAGCAUCAGGUAACAUCAAAUCGUACCCCAAACCGACACAGGUGGUCAGGUAGAGAAUACCAAGGCGCUUGAGAGAACUCGGGUGAAGGAACUAGGCAAAAUGGUGCCGUAACUUCGGGAGAAGGCACGCUGACACGUAGGUGAAGUGAUUUACUCAUGGAGCUGAAGUCAGUCGAAGAUACCAGCUGGCUGCAACUGUUUAUUAAAAACACAGCACUGUGCAAACACGAAAGUGGACGUAUACGGUGUGACGCCUGCCCGGUGCCGGAAGGUUAAUUGAUGGGGUCAGCGCAAGCGAAGCUCCUGAUCGAAGCCCCGGUAAACGGCGGCCGUAACUAUAACGGUCCUAAGGUAGCGAAAUUCCUUGUCGGGUAAGUUCCGACCUGCACGAAUGGCGUAAUGAUGGCCAGGCUGUCUCCACCCGAGACUCAGUGAAAUUGAACUCGCUGUGAAGAUGCAGUGUACCCGCGGCAAGACGGAAAGACCCCGUGAACCUUUACUAUAGCUUGACACUGAACAUUGAGCCUUGAUGUGUAGGAUAGGUGGGAGGCUUUGAAGUGUGGACGCCAGUCUGCAUGGAGCCGACCUUGAAAUACCACCCUUUAAUGUUUGAUGUUCUAACGUGGACCCGUUACCCGGGUUGCGGACAGUGUCUGGUGGGUAGUUUGACUGGGGCGGUCUCCUCCUAAAGAGUAACGGAGGAGCACGAAGGUUGGCUAAUCCUGGUCGGACAUCAGGAGGUUAGUGCAAUGGCAUAAGCCAGCUUGACUGCGAGCGUGACGGCGCGAGCAGGUGCGAAAGCAGGUCAUAGUGAUCCGGUGGUUCUGAAUGGAAGGGCCAUCGCUCAACGGAUAAAAGGUACUCCGGGGAUAACAGGCUGAUACCGCCCAAGAGUUCAUAUCGACGGCGGUGUUUGGCACCUCGAUGUCGGCUCAUCACAUCCUGGGGCUGAAGUAGGUCCCAAGGGUAUGGCUGUUCGCCAUUUAAAGUGGUACGCGAGCUGGGUUUAGAACGUCGUGAGACAGUUCGGUCCCUAUCUGCCGUGGGCGCUGGAGAACUGAGGGGGGCUGCUCCUAGUACGAGAGGACCGGAGUGGACGCAUCACUGGUGUUCGGGUUGUCAUGCCAAUGGCACUGCCCGGUAGCUAAAUGCGGAAGAGAUAAGUGCUGAAAGCAUCUAAGCACGAAACUUGCCCCGAG